ACAAAGAUUAGUGCUUGAAAUUGUACCUAAAGGGACGGUUAGUUCUUUAUCAUCUUUAGUAUUAAAACCCGUACUUCAUGACCGAAUCAAAGAGGCUCAGAAAGUGGAUAAGUAUUUGUCUAGGUUACGAAGUAUGAUUAAUGCUAAGAAGAGGCCGAACUUCUCUAUUGGUAAUGAUGAAAUGAUUCGAUAUAAAGGCA
This 200-nucleotide long non-coding RNA is filed under the name Erythranthe guttata (spotted monkey flower). Its description in RNAcentral is "long non-coding RNA (EGUT_LNC001571)". The record is from RNAcentral. Lineage: Eukaryota; Viridiplantae; Streptophyta; Magnoliopsida; Lamiales; Phrymaceae.